UUCUUAUACCCUAAUUAUAAGUAAAAUCUGCUCCAUGUAUAAUAAAUAGCCGCAGAAUAUUAACUGUGCUAAGGUAGCAUAAUCAUUUACCUUUUAAUUAAAGGUCUGUAUGAACGAUUUUACAUUUAAAUUACUUUUUUGUUAACCCUCAAUUAAAAUUAAAUUAAACAUAAAAAUGUUUUUAUUAAAAAUAAAGACGACAAGACCCUAUUGAACUUAACUUAAGUUAAGCUGGGGAAGCUAAUUAAACACAAUUUUAAUUUUAAAAAUUUUAAAAAUUUCUGAGAUAAUCAACUUGACCAAGUUACCAUAGGGAUAACAGCGUAAUAAUUCUUUAAAGCUCUUAUUAAAAGAAAAGAUUACGACCUCGAUGUUGAAUUAGAAUUACUUUAAGACGCAAUAGGCUUAAAAGCAGGUCUGUUCGACCUUUGAAUUUCUACA
This 441-nucleotide ribosomal RNA is filed under the name Troglohyphantes sp. morph Follows. Its description in RNAcentral is "partial large subunit ribosomal RNA". Lineage: Eukaryota; Metazoa; Arthropoda; Arachnida; Araneae; Linyphiidae. The record is from RNAcentral.